GGGGCUUUAGCUCAGUUUGGGAGAGCGUGCGACUGAAGAUCGUACGGUCCCGUGUUCGAUCCACGGAAGCCCCA
Molecule: non-coding RNA, 74 nt
Organism: Coemansia erecta
Lineage: Eukaryota; Fungi; Kickxellomycota; Kickxellomycetes; Kickxellales; Kickxellaceae
Source: the annotation of a GenBank genome assembly